Unclassified non-coding RNA from Meriones unguiculatus (Mongolian gerbil), 288 nucleotides. It matches the Rfam family "Metazoan signal recognition particle RNA". From Rfam's summary of the family: The signal recognition particle (SRP) is a universally conserved ribonucleoprotein. It is involved in the co-translational targeting of proteins to membranes. Lineage: Eukaryota; Metazoa; Chordata; Mammalia; Rodentia; Muridae. The record is from Ensembl.
CCUGUAGUCCCAGCUACUUGGGAGGCUGAGACAGGAGGAUUGCUUGAGUGCAGGAGUUCUGGGCUGUAGUGCGCUAUGCUGAUCGGGUGUCCACACUAACUUCAGCAUCAAUAUGGUGACCUCCUGGGAACAGGGGACAACCAGGUUGCCUAAGGAGGGGUGAACUGGCCCAGGUUGGAAAUGGAGCAGGUCAAAACUCCCGUGCUGAUCAGCUUGCUUUCUUACAGAACUCAAAAGACUACCAGCCCAGGGAUGGUGCCAUCCACAGUGGGUUAAGCCCUUCCACAU